AAAAGGAAAAGUUUGCCUGAUUCCAGAAAUAGAAUUGCUAAAUCUAUCAACUUGUCAGUUGUCACAUGCUUCUCAUUAGAUUUUUUUAAUGUAGAAAAUUAACUUUCAAGUAUUUCAAACUUGAUUUACCUAGGUAAAGUAAAAAAAGGGGCCAGCAAAAAUAUUACGUCGUGAAGGAAGUUCAAUGAAAGAAGAAAAUAAUUAUGACAAAAUAACCAAAGGAUA
RNAcentral lists this unclassified non-coding RNA (225 nucleotides) under Hevea brasiliensis (rubber tree). Lineage: Eukaryota; Viridiplantae; Streptophyta; Magnoliopsida; Malpighiales; Euphorbiaceae. The record is from RNAcentral.